AACGAACGCUGGCGGCAGGCUUAACACAUGCAAGUCGAACGCCCCGCAAGGGGAGUGGCAGCCGGGUGAGUAACGCGUGGGAACAUACCCCUUUCUACGGAAUAGCUCUGGGAAACUGGAAUUAAUACCGUAUACGCCCUACGGGGGAAAGAUUUAUCGGGGAAGGAUUGGCCCGCGUUGGAUUAGCUAGUUGGUGGGGUAAAGGCCUACCAAGGCGACGAUCCAUAGCUGGUCUGAGAGGAUGAUCAGCCACAUUGGGACUGAGACACGGCCCAAACUCCUACGGGAGGCAGCAGUGGGGAAUAUUGGACAAUGGGCGCAAGCCUGAUCCAGCCAUGCCGCGUGAGUGAUGAAGGCCUUAGGGUUGUAAAGCUCUUUCACCGAUGAAGAUAAUGACGGUAGUCGGAGAAGAAGCCCCGGCUAACUUCGUG
RNAcentral lists this ribosomal RNA (431 nucleotides) under uncultured bacterium. Its description in RNAcentral is "partial 16S ribosomal RNA". It matches the Rfam family "Bacterial small subunit ribosomal RNA", at positions 29 to 507 of the family's 1533-position model. The record is from RNAcentral.